GCUUCAGUAGUGUAGUGGGUCAGCACGGCAGACCGGAUAUCUGUAAGUGCGGGUUCGAGUCCUGCAUGAGGUU
Molecule: transfer RNA, 73 nt
Filed under: Dictyocaulus viviparus (bovine lungworm)
Lineage: Eukaryota; Metazoa; Nematoda; Chromadorea; Rhabditida; Metastrongylidae
Rfam family: tRNA
About the family: Transfer RNA (tRNA) molecules are approximately 80 nucleotides in length.
Source: Rfam by way of RNAcentral